Non-coding RNA from Hordeum vulgare subsp. vulgare (domesticated barley), 123 nucleotides. The record is from Rfam. Lineage: Eukaryota; Viridiplantae; Streptophyta; Magnoliopsida; Poales; Poaceae.
CAUAUAUUCCGUCCGUUCGGAAAUACUUAUCCUAGAAAUAUACAAAAUGAAUGUAUCUAUAACUAAAUAAGUCUAGAUACAUCUAUUUUUAGGACAAGUAUUUCCGGACGAAAGGAGUACUUC